GAUGAACGCUAGCGGCAGGCUUAAUACAUGCAAGUCGAGGGGCAGCAAGAUACUUCGGUAUUGUUGGCGACCGGCGCACGGGUGAGUAACACGUAUGUAAUCUACCUUAUACUGGAGGAUAGCUUUCGGAAACGGAAAUUAAUACUCCAUAUUGUCUUGUUACCAUAAGGUAACAAGAUGAAAGUUUUUCGGUAUAAGAUGGGCAUGCGCCCUGUUAGCUUGUUGGUGAGGUAAUGGCUCACCAAGGCUACGAUAGGUAGGGGAUCUGAGAGGAUGUUCCCCCACACUGGUACUGAGACACGGACCAGACUCCUAUGGGAGCAGCAGUAAGGAUAUUGGUCAAUGGGCAAAGCCUGAACCAGCUAUGCCGCGUGCAGGAUGAAGGCCUUUAGGUGUAAACUGCUUUUAAUGCGUGAGAAAAUAGCCUCUGCGAGUGAAUGAUGUUA
Molecule: ribosomal RNA, 446 nt
Filed under: uncultured bacterium
Lineage: Bacteria
Description: bacterial SSU rRNA
Rfam family: Bacterial small subunit ribosomal RNA
Source: RNAcentral